GUGAGCGGUGGAUGGGGUUGAUGUGUAUCGGCCAUUCUACGGAAGUGGAUCAGGCCAGGUCGUCGGCGGGUCGGCGGUGCGGGCCGGUUCGGACGCCCC
RNAcentral lists this transfer RNA (99 nucleotides) under Streptomyces inusitatus. Its description in RNAcentral is "tRNA-Arg". Lineage: Bacteria; Bacillati; Actinomycetota; Actinomycetes; Kitasatosporales; Streptomycetaceae. The record is from RNAcentral.